UACGGAGGAUCCGAGCGUUAUCCGGAUUUAUUGGGUUUAAAGGGUGCGCAGGCGGGAGAUUAAGUCGGCGGUGAAAUUUUGCAGCUCAACUGUAAAAGUGCCUUCGAAACUGGUUUUCUUGAGUGUGGAUGAAGUAGGCGGAAUUUGUGGUGUAGCGGUGAAAUGCAUAGAUAUCACGAGGAACUCCGAUUGCGCAGGCAGCUUACUAAGCUACAACUGACGCUCAUGCACGAAGGCGUGGGGAUCAAACAGGAUUAGAUACCCCCGUA
This 269-nucleotide ribosomal RNA is filed under the name uncultured prokaryote. RNAcentral describes it as "partial 16S ribosomal RNA". It matches the Rfam family "Bacterial small subunit ribosomal RNA", at positions 524 to 792 of the family's 1533-position model. The record is from RNAcentral.